GUAGUCAUAUGCUUGUCUCAAAGAUUAAGCCAUGCAUGUCUAAGUAUAAGCAAUUUAUACAGUGAAACUGCGAAUGGCUCAUUAAAUCAGUUAUCGUUUAUUUGAUAUUUCUUACUACAUGGAUAACCGUGGUAAUUCUAGAGCUAAUACAUGCACGAAAGCCCCGACCUCUGGAAGGGGUGUAUUUAUUAGAUAAAAAACCAAUGCCAAUUUAUUGGCUCAGUGGUGAUUCAUAAUAACUUUGCGGAGCGUAUGGCCUUGAGCCGACGCCGUUUCAUUCAAAUUUCUGCCCUAUCAACUUUCGAUGGUAGGAUAGUGGCCUACCAUGGUUUCAACGGGUAACGGGGAAUA
This 351-nucleotide ribosomal RNA is filed under the name uncultured fungus. Its description in RNAcentral is "bacterial SSU rRNA". It matches the Rfam family "Eukaryotic small subunit ribosomal RNA", at positions 20 to 371 of the family's 1831-position model. The record is from RNAcentral. Lineage: Eukaryota; Fungi.